AGAGUUUGAUCCUGGCUCAGAUUGAACGCUGGCGGCAUGCUUUACACAUGCAAGUCGGACGGCAGCACAGGGAAGCUUGCUUCUCGGGUGGCGAGUGGCGAACGGGUGAGUAACAUAUCGGAACGUACCGGGUAGCGGGGGAUAACUGAUCGAAAGAUCAGCUAAUACCGCAUACGUCUUGAGAGGGAAAGCAGGGGACCUUCGGGCCUUGCGCUAUCCGAGCGGCCGAUAUCUGAUUAGCUGGUUGGCGGGGUAAAGGCCCACCAAGGCGACGAUCAGUAGCGGGUCUGAGAGGAUGAUCCGCCACACUGGGACUGAGACACGGCCCAGACUCCUACGGGAGGCAGCAGUGGGGAAUUUUGGACAAUGGGCGCAAGCCUGAUCCAGCCAUGCCGCGUGUCUGAAGAAGGCCUUCGGGUUGUAAAGGACUUUUGUCAGGGAAGAAAAGGCCGUUGCCAAUAUCGGCGGCCGAUGACGGUACCUGAAGAAUAAGCACCGGCUAACUACGUGCCAGCAGCCGCGGUAAUACGUAGGGUGCGAGCGUUAAUCGGAAUUACUGGGCGUAAAGCGGGCGCAGACGGUUACUUAAGCAGGAUGUGAAAUCCCCGGGCUCAACCCGGGAACUGCGUUCUGAACUGGGUGACUCGAGUGUGUCAGAGGGAGGUGGAAUUCCACGUGUAGCAGUGAAAUGCGUAGAGAUGUGGAGGAAUACCGAUGGCGAAGGCAGCCUCCUGGGAUAACACUGACGUUCAUGUCCGAAAGCGUGGGUAGCAAACAGGAUUAGAUACCCUGGUAGUCCACGCCCUAAACGAUGUCAAUUAGCUGUUGGGCAACUUGAUUGCUUGGUAGCGUAGCUAACGCGUGAAAUUGACCGCCUGGGGAGUACGGUCGCAAGAUUAAAACUCAAAGGAAUUGACGGGGACCCGCACAAGCGGUGGAUGAUGUGGAUUAAUUCGAUGCAACGCGAAGAACCUUACCUGGUUUUGACAUGUGCGGAAUCCUCCGGAGACGGAGGAGUGCCUUCGGGAGCCGUAACACAGGUGCUGCAUGGCUGUCGUCAGCUCGUGUCGUGAGAUGUUGGGUUAAGUCCCGCAACGAGCGCAACCCUUGUCAUUAGUUGCCAUCAUUCGGUUGGGCACUCUAAUGAGACUGCCGGUGACAAGCCGGAGGAAGGUGGGGAUGACGUCAAGUCCUCAUGGCCCUUAUGACCAGGGCUUCACACGUCAUACAAUGGUCGGUACAGAGGGUAGCCAAGCCGCGAGGCGGAGCCAAUCUCACAAAACCGAUCGUAGUCCGGAUUGCACUCUGCAACUCGAGUGCAUGAAGUCGGAAUCGCUAGUAAUCGCAGGUCAGCAUACUGCGGUGAAUACGUUCCCGGGUCUUGUACACACCGCCCGUCACACCAUGGGAGUGGGGGGAUACCAGAAGUAGGUAGGGUAACCGCAAGGAGUCCGCUUACCACGGUAUGCUUCAUGACUGGGGUGAAGUCGUAACAAGGUAGCCGUAGGGGAACCUGCGGCUGGAUCACCU
Molecule: ribosomal RNA, 1530 nt
Filed under: Neisseria gonorrhoeae MS11
Lineage: Bacteria; Pseudomonadati; Pseudomonadota; Betaproteobacteria; Neisseriales; Neisseriaceae
Description: bacterial SSU rRNA
Rfam family: Bacterial small subunit ribosomal RNA
Source: RNAcentral